CCACUACUUACUAUCAUCCCCUCUUCGUCACUCACCACUAUUGCCACCACCACUAUCACUAUUGCCGAUCACCCUUGCACUAUCACCUCAUUGCUACUCAGUACCAUUAGUGGUCAACUUUAGAAGUUCAUGAGAUGUAGGACAAAUAGAAAGAUUUAUGAUUUCCAUAAAGAGGCUUGAAGAAGAGAGAUUAAAGGUUGACUUUUAGUAAAUUCACUUGAGGUAGUCAAAUCACUCAACCCAC
RNAcentral lists this long non-coding RNA (244 nucleotides) under Spirodela polyrhiza (greater duckweed). RNAcentral's name for it is "long non-coding RNA (SPOL_LNC001639)". Lineage: Eukaryota; Viridiplantae; Streptophyta; Magnoliopsida; Alismatales; Araceae. The record is from RNAcentral.